UUGGCCAAUAAGUUCGUUCGGUUUCUCCAUAACAUCUUAGGGAAAAACCUGAACGAAAGUUUUGGCCAA
Molecule: microRNA precursor, 69 nt
Filed under: Tursiops truncatus (common bottlenose dolphin)
Lineage: Eukaryota; Metazoa; Chordata; Mammalia; Artiodactyla; Delphinidae
Description: miRNA (ENSTTRG00000025042.1)
Source: RNAcentral